This 5750-nucleotide long non-coding RNA is filed under the name Canis lupus familiaris (dog). Its description in RNAcentral is "lncRNA (ENSCAFG00845023618.1)". The record is from RNAcentral. Lineage: Eukaryota; Metazoa; Chordata; Mammalia; Carnivora; Canidae.
UUUUUUUUUUUUUUUUUUUUUUUAACCCUCAGUGAAUGGCACAGCCAUCUACCAACUGCCCAAGCCAUUAAUGACUCCUCUCCUUCCCUCACACCUCUAGGCAUUUGUUCAGGAAGUGUGUCCCUUUCACGCACUUCUUUUGGACUUUUGUCUGAGACACAAUGGUUUUAAGCAGUGACUGAUUCUGUAACUCUUAAUUCCCUUGAACAGGUCAUUUAGUUCCUCUAAACCUUAAAUACACCCAUGGGGUAAGAAAUGCCAAGUCAGCACCUACUAUGUGUUUAGUAAAUGUUAUCUACUAUUCUUCUUUCCAGGCCCACUGCAUUUUCUCAGGAACAUCGUUUCCAGCCAGAUUGCUGCCACAACCUAUUAUCCUUGCUUCUAGUCUGGCCAGCACUCCUGUCCAUUCUCAACAAUGAAGCCAGAAUCUUCCAAUAAUGUAAAUGAGAUCAUGUCAUACACCUGCUUAAAAUCCUUUAAUGGCUCUCCAUUACCUUCAGGAUAAGACUCCAACUUCCUGGCUUGGCAUAGCACACUGUUAUCAUCCAGCCCCUCCAACACUCCAGUGCCUUUUCUUGUCACUCCUCCAACCACACACCUUGCUCCAGUCAUACGGAACUGAACGUGCAAAAACAAGCCCUGCUCUCACAAGGCACUUCUUUCACUGCCGUGUCCCAGGCCCACGUGGAAACUGCCAGAUGUCCCUAAGUCCAUUGCUAGGCUGUAGGCAACUUUAGGGAGCUUCCUAAUUCACUGUGCUGCUCCCAGUACCAAGCAUGAUCUGGCUCAUAUUAAUACCAAGUAAGUAAUAAGCGAUACUGAAUUUAACUCCCUCCCAUAUUUUAUUCUGAAGAGGAAAGCAAACAAAUGAGUUUAGGGUUGAGGAGGUACAUGAGAUUAUCCCUGCGUCCCCAAACCUGUAAUGACCUGAAAUCUUUCUAGUAACACUAAUUUUAGAAAUACCAUUGGAGGACGGAUUUGUGCGAAUUCCAGAAGCCAAACACCAAGUUGGCAUUUAUCUGCUAAUGGCAAUUUAAAUCAAUUACUGGUUUCAGCCUGUCUUCCUCUGGCCUCAAGACUACAUUCAACAACGGUUAACCUGCAGCACCAGGACUCAAGAUGAGUAAGAUGCAAAAUCCAGAAAACAAAAUGUUAUGCAGUUGGAAAUCAUUACAAAGUACCUUAAAGAAGUCACACAACAUGGAAAGGGUUGCAUGGACACAGAAACUGGCUUAAUCCUUAAUCCUGGCUCUAAUGCUCCUCUUGCUUCUUUCAUUUUUAAAAUGCUCUCCCUGGUUAUUUCCAGUGUCACCCCCCCCACCCCCACCCAGGUGCUCCUCAUACAGGUGUAUACUACGUAUUUCUAGAUAAAAUGGCCUAUGAAGUAUGCCCCUAAAAGUUGUUCAGUGUGCACCAAUCUGCACCUGCUCUGCAGUGGCCAUGAGCUCAGGACAAAUGACCAGAUGUUUCACUCACCUUAACGGUCUUAGCUGUAAGGACAUGAGCUUUUGAAAAAUGUGGGCUAGCAAGCUCUUUGUGGGCAGGUUUUCUUCAAUAUCCCUCCACAGAACAGAACCUGAGGGCCACAGACCAUUGGCAUCAAUGAAACUGCUCAAAGUGAAUGUAAAAUGUUGUGCUUUUUUAAAUAAGAGAUUUAGUAAGUUUCAUUAGCUUUUCAAAGAGGGCUAUAUCCACCCCCCAAUUUUAGAACCACUGCUAGAUGGGGAUCCCUGGGUGGCUCAGCAGUUUAGCGCCUGCUUUUGGCCCAGGGAGUGAUCCUGGAGUCCUGGGAUGAGGUCCCACAUCAGGCUCCCUGCAUGGAGCCUGCUUCUCCCUCUGCCUAUGUCUCUGCCUCUCUGUCUCUCAUGAAUAAAUACAUAAAAUCUAAAAAAGAAAACAACAACAAAAAAAACCACUGCUAGAGACCUCAGCAGAUGUUAGGCAGAUAAGUGAUGAAUAUAUACUUUGUGACAAACCCUCAGUAACUCUUAAACUAACCCCAAUUCAAAACACAAAAUAGAACCCCCGCACCUAGCACCUCUGUCAACAGAGGCAAAUCUGUCAUCUCACCAUUUGAAUUUUCUCUCCAGCAGCAAAGAAGGUAGACAAGAUGAUAUACCUGUGGGCUCCGAAGAGUUAGGUACAGACUUGUGCCUAGAGAGAAGGCUUGCCUUAAAUCACUCUAUGCAUGCAGGGUUCUGUUUUUUUGUUUUGUUUUUUUGUUUGUUUGUUUGUUUGUUUGUUUUAGGCACGCAGGUUUGAUACAGUCUAAUUCUCAAGGGCUCUAGUUUGCGGAAAUUCCACUUGGCCUAACUAGCUCAAGGUUAAAAAAAUACUCUGCAAAAUCUUGAGGUUCCCUUCAGGAAUGGCAAGCUAAAAAUGAAACACAAUACUCUCAUAGGUAAUUGGAGUACCAAAAGUCCCCAUCAAUUUUAAGUACAGUAACUUCUACUGCAAAAUCUAUUCUUUGUCCCCAAAUCAGACUAAAGAUUACAUAUAAAAACAAAGUGAGAUUGUGCUAUAUACAAAUUUCCCCAAUGAUGACACCACAAAAUGGCAAAAUGAAAAAUAUUUAAUACACAAAAAAAGCAAACAGAAUCAACUGGUAUUAAGGGCCUUUCAUAGUGCAAAAACCAGAAAGAUACAGAGUCAUUAACUUAUUGGUGCUUAAAACUAGGCAAAAACAUGUGAAAAUGUCUCCUUUCCUUAGUGAGCUGGGGACUAUUCAAAAAGUUAUUUACAUUGCUUUUUUCCUGCCCACUUUAUGAAACCAUAUUUGCUGCACUCCUGUUGAUUAUGCUUACCUGAUCAGAUAUGUUAUUUGGGAAACUGCAUGUUUUCUGUAUAGUGACAGUGCAUUUUAGGCAACCUACUCAAGUGCAUGCAGAAAAUUUUUGUCCAUCCAGACCACAACAGAGCACUUCUACUAUCCAAAUUUACACACACUUCUCUCAGAACCUAGAAACAGAAUUCUUUUCUAGUCAAGAGCUUCAGAGCAAGGAAAGGCUAUAUGAGUCAGAGGCGCAGGUACAAGGAAGCAACAUAGGCUCUGCUAGGCAGGCACUUGAGGGGAGCUUGUGCUCACUUUCCAGGACAUGAGGUAUUCUGAAUAUAUACCCCAGAGCUUGGUAGAGCCAUUUUUUUUAACAUGUCAUUCAAGGCAGUGUAUAUAGGUUAAGCUGCUCCAGCAUCCUUAGUUUCCAUAACAAACUAUGAGGUAGAAAGCGUAGUUAUGUGUGUUCUGUUAAAAGGUAAGAAAAAUGUCAAGAGUGGGACAGACGGUGGAAGGGCCUUACCCCUUUAUCCCUAUCCAAGGGACUUAACAGUGCCUUGCUACAGACUAUGGACAAAGUCCUAGGCAGAGGCUGCUUAGAAUUUCUACCUUGCCAAAGUGCCAAGGAACCCAGAAACAUUUCAUUCCCCUUUUAAAACCUUUUCUAUUAUUUUUAAAAGGAGGAAGGAAAAAUAUGAGAGGAGACAUUUUAUAAGGAAGUGAAAAACAAGGCAAAUUAUGGGGGGGAGGGGAUGAAGAGCCUCCUGUAGGAAGAGGGAAGGCUGCCCUCAGUUUCUUAGUGCUGAGACAAUAGGGGUGCUCUUUCCCGUUUCUCAUCAUGGACACAAAGGAAGCCUCAACUACAAGCUGUUUUUUAUUAGAUAGUAGCUCUGAUGUCACAGCUUCUCUUCCUUAUCCACCACCUACCUCCGCUAAAGAAAAAAAUUCCCCAGAACUGACUGGAACAGAGGAAUCUUAUCCAAAGAUACUAUGGUUGCAGCAACCCAAGGGAUGAUACAGAAGGCCUCUGAUAUAAAAGUAAUAUCCAGAAGUAGAUCACUUUGAACUCUGAGGAAAAAAGAGCAACAAAAAGGGAAGAAGGAAAAAAGGAGAAAUCUAUGACAUUAGUUACUGUUAAAAAAAAUGCCUUGGGAUAAGACAUUAGGUGCUCUAAUAAAUUGUCAGUGUCAUAGGGAUGUCAAUUUUCAAGAAAGCAUUUGCCAAAUUAUAGCAACUAUUCUGAGAAAGGAAUUGCUCUGACAGCACUAUUUGACCCUUUUUAAGAUCCCUGACCCAUUCUACCCCCCAAGAAAUGAGGACUACGCCUUGUUGCCCUAUGCUCCCAGAUGACACUGAAUAUGGAUCCAGGGUGAAGAAAAACAAUCUGCAGGAGAAGCAGCAUGGAGGACUUCAGAUAAGCUACCCAGAAGUAUCAGCUACCUAUGUCUGCAGACACACAAAUCUGCAACAUUUUCAGUCAUUUGAAAAGCUCUGAUACAGGCACAGUAAACCCAAGGGGUUCUUAAUAUUCUAUUUUCUUUAACAAUGCCACAUUUGCCAACAAUGACGUUACUUGGGAUUGCACAUUCCUUCUAUCGAAAGAUCUCAGAAUGCUGGGGGGACCCGCUCCCAUAGGAGAGAAGAGAUCUGGUGGCUCCUUUAAAGGAAAACUGUAGCAAUGGUGACCAAGGAAAGCACUGUCCACUGAUAGGACAUAUCAGAGCAAUCUGGAAAAAGUGUUCUCAAAUUAGAUCAGGGGGUCACCUGAACCACUAUCUCAGACACUUUCAGUUUAGCUUUAGAGCCUCAGUAUCUCUCCUCAUAUGCUAAACGGCAACUGUACUAAUCACCAUCUGGGAGUUUCCAGCAAAGUAACCUCAACAUACCCUAUGGCAGUGCAAAAUUCCACACAUUUGUAAACACUGUACUUAUUGCUUUUGGCACAGGGAAGAGCUUAUAGGUUCUUUAUCUUUGAAGUGAAAGUUCAAAACAUAGCUAGUUCCUAUUCUAUAGCCACUUUCAGCAAAGGCAUUAGCAGUCUUGAUACUAUAUGUGCAUAAUAUAUACCCAUGAAUGAAGAGAACCAUCAAAAUAAGUUUUUCUUUAGGAUGCCAAUCAACAAUUUAAAUGGAUACUUGGCUAAAAGGAAAACAAUGGCUUCACAGUAUCUAAAGGCAUGUACUUUCAGAAGUUCACAUGACUCUGUGGGAAAAAAAAACAAAUAUCUGGUUAAGAAGUUUCCUCCUUUCUAAAGAGAACCAAGAGAUAACGCUACGAUAGUUUCGUAGAAUCCAAGAUCUAACAUUCAUCGAUUUCUCAUCAAUGACUGUUCAAAGGAGCCAACAAUGCACUGAAUUAACAUUUACAAAAAAAUGUUACAAAUGAUCCUGACCUUUAAAAAUAAAUUCUUACAAACAACACAAUGUUCCACAAAGCAUUAUAUACACCUAAGUAUACAUAAAUUAUUAUUAAAACAACUACAUAUUUCAAAUGCUUGGCAGUGAUUUCAUCUUAUAUUAGAAAAGUUCAUGGCAGUUUGUAAGCUGGCUCGGCAGACACAGACCCAUUGGUUCAAGCCUAGGAUUGUGAAUCUUUGCUAUUUCAUAGGUGGACUGUGGGGAAAUGGCAAUAUGCAGCUGAAGGCUUCGUCUUAAGAUUUUCAUAAAGUCUGAUUUAAGUAUUUAACACAAAAGCAUAGCAAAUAUUAUACGUAUGGUGCAAGUACAGUAACUCAUUCAUUAACUCAAUGAGACAGGAGACAUUUUUGGUAUAACCUAGAAAUUCAUGGUUUUUCUAAGGAUUUGUCAUUUUUGCUGAGCUUUCUGUCCAGGAUAACAUGGUCAUACAUAUUAAAUGGCAAUUAAAAUAAGAAAUUUGGUGCUAGAGCACCUGGCUGGCUCAGUCAGUAGAGUAUGAGUCUCUUGAUCUCAAGCUCCACGCUGGGCGUAGAGAUUUACUUUAAAAAAAAAAAAAAAAA